AUACGGAGGAUCCAAGCGUUAUCCGGAAUCAUUGGGUUUAAAGGGUCCGUAGGCGGCCUUAUAAGUCAGUGGUGAAAUCUCCUAGCUCAACUAGGAAACUGCCAUUGAUACUGUAGGGCUUGAAUUAUUGUGAAGUAACUAGAAUAUGUAGUGUAGCGGUGAAAUGCUUAGAUAUUACAUGGAAUACCAAUUGCGAAGGCAGGUUACUAACAAACGAUUGACGCUGAUGGACGAAAGCGUGGGUAGC
Molecule: ribosomal RNA, 247 nt
Filed under: uncultured bacterium
Lineage: Bacteria
Description: partial 16S ribosomal RNA
Rfam family: Bacterial small subunit ribosomal RNA
Source: RNAcentral